Molecule: small nuclear RNA, 109 nt
Organism: Dermochelys coriacea (leatherback sea turtle)
Lineage: Eukaryota; Metazoa; Chordata; Testudines; Dermochelyidae
Source: RefSeq, a predicted model, not a curated record
AAGGUUAGCACUCCCCUUGAUAAGGAUGGAAGAGGUCCCAGUGGCCUUUACAACAUGUAUAUGGUUAAGGCAUUGCCACUUACUUCGUGGCAUCUAACCCCCCACAUAA